GAAGAGCAGUGAAGCAGCUAGGGUUCUUGGAAGGGAGGCCUUGAGCGUGAAAAGAAAAAAAACAGAGUGAAGGAAGAGUGGCGGCUGACAGGAAGAUCAGGAGAGAAAGACGCGGCAACGGACAGAGGAGGAAGAACAAGGUCACCACCAGUCCGCGUCCGCUCUGCUGCUGUCUGCCAUCGCCAACACCGCGCACAACCUCCUGGGCUGCUGCCGUUCUCUGUAACACUAGAUGAAGGCUCUCGGAGGAAGUCAGACCUAGUCAUCUUCCAAUUCCAACUCACCGUCUUCAGCUUCGUCAUAAUCGCCGUCGCCACCGCUCAACAGGUUGAUACUGAACACCUGGAAAAUCAUGAGGCUGCUACCUUUUAUAUCCGUGACAAUGCGGAUUGUAUCCUGGGUACAUGAUUUUCUUUGUUCAGUCUGCUUUGUUUAUUGCUGGUUCAAGAGGUUCUAACACGAUUCCCAAGAAGAAGAAGCCAGUCAUUGCUGUGAAGAUGGUUUUUGAAUUGAAGACUACAAGGCCUAUCGUGCUCAUGUUUUGUUCUAGAUGAGAAUCGUGCUCAUAUUUUUGUAUAGAACUUUACUACUCUCUAUUGUGGAUGGGAAAUCACUAGUAUUGUAACUGAAUGGCUUAUUUUGGAUGGUGCAUGGUUUAUGACUCAUUUGAGGCAACAUUUAUAUAUAUAUGUAUUUGGGUUGAUCUUCUA
Long non-coding RNA from Coffea eugenioides, 710 nucleotides. RefSeq lists it as uncharacterized. The transcript is spliced from 4 exons. Lineage: Eukaryota; Viridiplantae; Streptophyta; Magnoliopsida; Gentianales; Rubiaceae. The record is from RefSeq and is a predicted model, not a curated record.